RNAcentral lists this ribosomal RNA (364 nucleotides) under uncultured prokaryote. RNAcentral's name for it is "bacterial SSU rRNA". It matches the Rfam family "Bacterial small subunit ribosomal RNA", at positions 8 to 353 of the family's 1533-position model. The record is from RNAcentral.
AGAGUUUGAUCCUGGCUCAGAACGAACGCUGGCGGCGUGCUUAACACAUGCAAGUCCAACGUGAAAGGGGNGCAAUCCCCCGGUAGGGUGGCAAACGGGUGAGUAAUACAUGGGUGAUCUACCUUAAAGAUGGGGAUAUCCUUCCGAAAGGAGGGGCAAUACCGAAUAUUGUCCGGGACCGUGAAGGGUUUCGGGGAAAGGGAGGCCUCUGACACAAGCUUUCGCCUUAAGAUGAGCCCAUGGCCCCAUCAGCUAGUUGGUAGGGGUAAAGGCCCUACCAAGGCUACGACGGGUCGCUGGUCUGAGAGGACGACCAGCCCACACUGGCACUGAGAUACGGCCCAGACUCCUACGGGAGGGCGAG